RNAcentral lists this unclassified non-coding RNA (299 nucleotides) under uncultured fungus. RNAcentral describes it as "partial contains 5.8S ribosomal RNA, internal transcribed spacer 2, and large subunit ribosomal RNA". The stretch from base 1 to 52 matches the Rfam family "5.8S ribosomal RNA", at positions 103 to 154 of the family's 154-position model. Lineage: Eukaryota; Fungi. The record is from RNAcentral. RNAcentral also lists the same sequence under 1 other name.
AACGCAUCUUGCGCUCCUUGGUAUUCCGAGGAGCAUGCCUGUUUGAGUGUCAUUUAACUUCUCAACCACAUCAGAUGAAAAUUUUUUUUGAUUGUGGCUUGGACUUGGGAGUUGUAUGCAGGCCUAAUAAGGUCGGCUCUCCUGAAAUGUAUUAGUGGUAUCUGAGGCUAUUGCUAUAGGUGUGAUAAUUUAUCUAUGCCUUUGGUAUUGCUGCAUGAACAGAUUACACUGCUUCUAACAAAGAAAAAAAACUUGACAAAUUUGACCUCAAAUCAGGUAGGACUACCCGCUGAACUUAA